GACAGAGGGUGCAACCGUUGCUCGGAAUCACUGGGCGUAAAGCGCGUGUAGGCGGUCCGGUAAGUCCGCUGUGAAAGUCGGGGGCUCAACCCUCGAAUGCCGGUGGAUACUGUCGGGCUAGAGUGCGGAAGAGGCGAGUGGAAUUCCUGGUGUAGCGGUGAAAUGCGUAGAUAUCAGGAGGAACACCAAUGGCGAAGGCAGCUCGCUGGGACGGUACUGACGCUGAGACGCGAAAGCGUGGGGAGCAAACAGG
This 253-nucleotide ribosomal RNA is filed under the name uncultured bacterium. RNAcentral describes it as "partial 16S ribosomal RNA". It matches the Rfam family "Bacterial small subunit ribosomal RNA", at positions 524 to 776 of the family's 1533-position model. The record is from RNAcentral.